Molecule: long non-coding RNA, 258 nt
Filed under: Elaeis guineensis (African oil palm)
Lineage: Eukaryota; Viridiplantae; Streptophyta; Magnoliopsida; Arecales; Arecaceae
Description: long non-coding RNA (EGUI_LNC049625)
Source: RNAcentral
AAUUGUACUUCUUCAUUUUGUUUCACUUGCUUUUGUUCUACGGAUAAUAUUUUCCUUAAUUCUUCUUUUCUUAAAUAAUUGAUCUUAAAUAUAAAAAAUGAUCACUCUUAAAAACUUCAUGAUCCUCAAUUUUUACUCCACCUUAUUCCUAUUCCUAAGUUCAUUAAAAUUGCAUUCCAUGUAUUAUAUAUUUGUAUCUUAGGCUAAAAACUUAGAUUCUAAUUCACUCCUCCAUAUUUCUAACUUACGUUUAUCCCC